AUGUACAUUUGCAAAGAAGAUGGCAGUAAAUGGAGAAGUACCUUUGUCUAUGGUGAACCAAGGGCAAGCCAAAGGUAUGUGAUGUGGGAAUUGUUAAGGCGUAUUAAGCCGCUUGGGAACGGACCAUGGUUUAUGGUUGGUGAUUUUAACGAAGCUAUGUGGCAGAAUGAGCAUUUUUCUCGGAAUAAGCGGUCGGAUAAACUUAUGGCAAAUUUUCGUGAGGUUUUAUCGGAAUGCAAUUUAUUUGAUUUGGGUUUUUCGGGUGUUCCUUGGACUUACAAUAACAAGAAGGAAGGUCACAAAAAUGUGAAAGUGCAUCUUGACUGUGCGGUGGCUUGUCCUCGGUGGUCCUCCAUGUUCCCUAAUUGUACGGUCCAACAUAUUAUCAGUUCAAGGUCAGAUCAUUGUCCUCUUCUUAUUCAAGUGACGGGAGUUCCUCGUCCCGGGAUGCUUAUUAAAAAUCUGAGAUAUGAAGCGUACUGGGAGAGAGAGGUUGGGGUGCUGAAUGAUCAAAUUGAAUUGGUUUGGAAUAAAAGUACGCAUGUCAGUGACCUGGGAGAUGUGGCAAAUAAGUUGGACAGUCUUAUGAAGUCUCUUCAUGGGUGGAGUAAGGAACAUAUUGGUUAUUUGCCCAAAAAGCUUGAAACGGCGCGAAAGAGAUUAAAUUUGCUCUUCAAAAUAAAUGACCAUACUGCUGUUAUGGAAAGGAAGAAAAUCCUGGCGGAGAUGGAUGAACUUUUGAUUAAGGAAGAAAUCAUGUGGAAGCAGAGAUCUUGUUUGGACAAAAUGAAAUGGGGUGAUAGGAAUACAAAAUUCUUUCAGCGAAAGGCCACAUGGAGAGCUAAGAAGAAUAAUAUCUCGGCCCUUAAAAGGAGCGACGGUUCCCUCUCUCAUGAUGUGGACGAGAUGAAAGUUCAACAAUUCUUUAUAUCGGGAUGUAUGCCGGAGGGGAUAAAUAAUACAACUAUUGUGCUUAUUCCGAAAGUGAAGAACCCCCAGUCGAUAAAAGAUUUUUGGCCAAUCAGUCUAUGCAAUGUCAUAUAUAAAAUUAUCUCCAAGUGUCUUGUCAACAGACUGAGACCUCAGUUGGACGGUAUGAUUUCUCCAACCCAAAGUGCGUUCAUCCCUGGAAGAUUAAUUUCUGAUAAUGCUCUUAUAGCUUUUGAAUGUAUGCAUUCGUUGAGUACGCUAAAAGACAGCCGAGGUGAAUAUUGUGCGUACAAGCUGGACCUAGCCAAGGCAUAUGAUCGUGUAGACUGGAGGUUCUUGGAAAGUAUGCUUCGGGCAUAUGGUUUUGCUCCAGUGUGGGUUAAGUGGAUUAUGAUCUGUGUGACGUCAGUGAAAUUUUCUGUGCGGUUUAAUGGUCAGUUGUUAGAUUCGUUCCAACCUUCUUGUGGCCUCAGGCAAGGGGAUCCUCUAUCUCCUUACCUUUUCCUAUUUGUGGUUGAGGCUCUAUCGUUGUUACUCCAUGAUGCUACGGCGAAGGGGGUUAUUCAGGAUUUUCGGCUGAACAGACAUGCUCCAGGGGUCUCACAUUUAUUAUUUGCGGAUGAUAGCCUCCUAUUUUUUAAGGGUUCUUUGGAGCAAGCUCUGGUCAUUAAACGGAUUCUGGCUGCUUAUGAGGAGGGGACGGGUCAAUUGCUAAGUCCGGAUAAAUGCUCCAUUUUGUUUGGUAAAAAGUGUAGCCUGGAAGAUCAAGUUUCUAUCUUGGUGGUUCUCAAAAUCACCUCUGAUGGUUUUGAGGAUAAAUAUCUUGGUUUACCUGUGCCGGAAGGGCGGAUGAAGGCUGGUAAAUUCCAAUCUACAAAAGAUAAAGCGCUUAAGCGGGUUUCAGACUGGAUAGAAAAAUAUGCUUCUAGUGGUGUGAAGGAGCUCCAGAUUAAGUCAGUCAUUCAGUCUCUUCCGGUCUAUGCCAUGGGGAUUUUUAAAUUUCCUGCUUCUAUUUGUGAAGAGUUAUCCCAAAUCAUUAGGAAUUUUUGGUGGGGUGACCAGGAGGAUAGGAAGAGAACUCAUUGGCUAGCAUGGGAUAAGUUGACAAGACCCAAAGGAGAAGGAGGUAUGGGCUUUAGAGAUUUGAGAUUAUUUAAUCAAGCGCUUUUGGCGAAACAGGCUUGGCGUUUAUUGGUCUUUCCGGACUCGUUAUGUGCAAAGGUGAUGAAAGCAAAGUAUUAUCCUCAUGGGCAUUUGCUAGACAUUGUAUUCCCUCAGGUGACAUCAACUACUUGGCAAGGUAUUAUGCAUGGUCUUGAGCUGCUGAAAAAGGGGGUCAUUUGGAGAGUUCGCGGCGGUGCAAAUAUAAAUAUUUGGAGAGACAAUUGGCUUCCUAGAGAUUCGGGGCUUCAAAUUUCAGCAAAAAGGAACAGAACCAGACUCAAAUGUGUGUCUGAAUUAUUCAUUAGUGGCUCAACAAGAUGGGAUGAGAAUCUUAUUCGGCAUCUGUUCUUUCCACAUGAUGCGGACGAAAUUUUGAAGUUGCGUGUUCUGACUGUCGGUGAUGGAGAUUUCAUUGCUUGGCACUACGAAAAAAAUGGUUUAUUCUCAGUUAAAAGUGCGUAUAAGUUGGCGCUCAAACUUAAGGACUCUAUGAUUGAGUUAGGGAGUUCAAGUGGUGCUGCUAAUGGGGAAAGGAGGCUAUGGAAUAUUAUUUGGAAGGCUCAGGUCCCUCAGAAAAUCAGAAUUUUUGCAUGGCGUGUUGCGACACAAAGUUUGGCGGUUCAAGUUAACAGAGUUAAACACCACCAAACUACCAUUGGUCUGUGCUCGAUUUGUGGCGUAGAAGAUGAAUCUGUAUUUCAUGCACUGGUAAGCUGUCCUAAGGCUCAUGCGUUACGUCUCGCGGUAAGGGAGGUAUGGAAUUUACCAGAUGAAGUGGUUUUCAAUUUUAUGGGGCCGGAUUGGUUACUUGUCUUAUUGGAUCAAGUAAGGCCGCCGGUGCGUGAGCAAAUUAUAUUCAUGUUUUAG
RNAcentral lists this ribosomal RNA (2961 nucleotides) under Triticum aestivum (bread wheat). RNAcentral describes it as "partial small subunit ribosomal RNA". Lineage: Eukaryota; Viridiplantae; Streptophyta; Magnoliopsida; Poales; Poaceae. The record is from RNAcentral.